This is a long non-coding RNA of Sinocyclocheilus anshuiensis, 1553 nucleotides long. The record is from Ensembl. Lineage: Eukaryota; Metazoa; Chordata; Actinopteri; Cypriniformes; Cyprinidae.
UGAACUGUCGCUGACAAACAUUGACUGAAUCAUUCAUGAGCAAACGAGUCAGUGAUCCAGUCUCAGUCCUAAGAUUAUGAGAGGAUAACAACUUAAUUAUUGCAGUCUCUUCAUUUUAUUUAACUAUAAAACAUACGAGUAUGUAAUUUUUGCCCACCGUAGCCUACUCACGUGGCUUUAUUAGGCGUUGCUGGCGUUGAACGAGAGAGAACGGGACGCUCGCGGAAGUGUGUGAUCGUUUAUUGGGCGUCACGGCACCCGUAUGGCACAUCCUACACUGAUUUAAAUGUCGUCAAACUAUUACUCCAGUGCUAUCGUCAUCUGGCCCUUAUUUGUCCUGUAAGCUGAGCGUUCACUCCUCCUUGGCCAUGUGUUACCUGACAGGAGUUUGGUUUCACUGAGUGUUGUGGUGAAUGGGUAAACCCCUACAGUUUUGCAUUCCAGUCAUAGUUCUGAAUGUAUGUUUGUCAGUUUUCACAUGGAAAAUGAGCUUCAGCAUGUCUGUUCCUGCCAGUGAUGAUGGUGGUGUGUCUCGCCAUCUGAUUGCAUGUGCCGAUAUAAUAUGCAAAUAUGGUAGAUGUGUGCUGGUGGACUUGAAGCCCACCUGUGAGUGUAAGCUGGGCUACAUUGGAGACACCUGUAACGAAACAAUCAAUGACGCUCUGUCUGUGCCGCUCACCCUCGGCGUCCUGGCUUUCAUCAUUGGCUUUAUCAUCCUGCUCUUUGGGAUGGCUUUUUUCCAGCAAAGGCAAAAGGCGAAGAAGAGAAAAAAGGCAGCUGAAGAAGCCCUGUUAAGAAAUGGAGCACAUCUUUAACAUGUUUUAAUGCAGCGUGCCAUAAAAUAGUACCAUCAACACAUGAACAUAAACUUUCCACCAUGACACUUAAAUGUGCAUGAAUAGCCUAGAUAUAUUCAUCUCAUGUUAUACUGGUGUGCAUAUGUAGCACUGAAUGCACUCAGCAUUAACUGAAAACUUUUGUAUAUGAAAUACGUGAAGUCCGCAGCACAUUUGAAUGAUUCUAGAGCAUGACUUGGGUUGGCGUACCUGCAGGGGAGAUACAUGCAAACCACGUUAAACAUGCAUUGACUGGUUCCUGAAACAUGCCAGGUAUUUCAGUGCUGUUUUUCCGCUGUUAUAUUUAGCUCAGUCCUGACUGGUGAGUUUGAAUAACUGAAAGCUGACUAGUUUCAUGGACUGAUCAGCCACAGACAAGUAUCUUUUUCAAGCAUUUAUGGAAAACAGUCACGCCAUUUUUUUAUGGGUUUUGGUUGUUUACUUUUACUUUUGGAGUUUCACAACAACUCUGCAUUCAACCUUUUUUUAUUUAGUUUAGUAGAGGCCUCAUUCAACUGUCUGUACAGUAUUUUUGAAUAAAGAUAUUUGUUUUUUUGUCAUAUUUCAGACUGAAUAUCUGAUUCAGUGCACACAAUUAAGGGCGAUAUGUUUCCACAUGAAAAGGACUUUUCAUCUGACAUUUCCUAAUUAAGGCAUCUUUAUCCAUGUAAAUUAAUUUCACAUUAGUUUGCUAUAUACUUUUGUUUUAAUGCCCCU